This 263-nucleotide unclassified non-coding RNA is filed under the name Penicillium ortum. Its description in RNAcentral is "sequence contains 5.8S rRNA gene". Lineage: Eukaryota; Fungi; Ascomycota; Eurotiomycetes; Eurotiales; Aspergillaceae. The record is from RNAcentral.
GAACGCACAUUGCGCCCCCUGGUAUUCCGGGGGCAUGCCUGUCCGAGCGUCAUUGCUGCCCUCAAGCACGGCUUGUGUGUUGGGCCCCCGCCCCCCGGUCCCGGGGGGCGGGCCCGAAAGGCAGCGGCGGCACCGCGUCCGGUCCUCGAGCGUAUGGGGCUUUGUCACCCGCUCUGUAGGCCCCGGCCGGCGCCCGCCGGCGACCCCAAUCAAUCUUUUUCAGGUUGACCUCGGAUCAGGUAGGGAUACCCGCUGAACUUAAG